CCUACGGGAGGCAGCAGUGAGGAAUAUUGGUCAAUGGGCGCAAGCCUGAACCAGCCAAGUCGCGUGAAGGAAGACGGUCCUAUGGGUUGUAAACCGCUUUUAUCGGGGAGCAAAACGCCCCACGCGUGGGGCUCCGAGAGUACCCGAAGAAAAAGCAUCGGCUAACUCCGUGCCAGCAGCCGCGGUAAUACGGAAGGUGCGGGCGUUAUCCGGAUUUAUUGGGGUUAAAGGGUGCGUAGGCCGGAAGUCAAGUUAGCGGGGAAAUGUAGGGGCUCAACCCCGGCCGGGCGGCGACAACUGGCGUGCUUGAGUCCGCGGAAAGCAGGCGGAAUUCGUGGUGUAGCGGUGAAAUGCUUAGAUAUGACGAAGAACCCCGAUUGCGAAGGCAGCAUGCUGCAGCGGAACUGACGCUGAUGCUCGAAAGCGCGGGUAUCGAACAGGAUUAGAUACCCGGGUAGUC
This 460-nucleotide ribosomal RNA is filed under the name uncultured bacterium. Its description in RNAcentral is "partial 16S ribosomal RNA". It matches the Rfam family "Bacterial small subunit ribosomal RNA", at positions 338 to 795 of the family's 1533-position model. The record is from RNAcentral.